UACGGAGGGUGCGAGCGUUGUCCGGAAUCACUGGGCGUAAAGGGCGCGUAGGUGGCCUGUGGAAGUCUGCGGUGAAAGCCCGGCGCUCAACGCCGGGUCGGCCGUGGAUACUCUCGGGCUCGAGCUUACUAGAGGCAGAUGGAAUUCCGGGUGUAGCGGUGGAAUGCGUGGAGAUCCGGAAGAACACCGGUGGCGAAGGCGGUCUGCUGGGGUAAUGCUGACACUGAGAGACGAAAGCUAGGGGAGCGAAUGGG
This 254-nucleotide ribosomal RNA is filed under the name uncultured bacterium. Its description in RNAcentral is "partial 16S ribosomal RNA". It matches the Rfam family "Bacterial small subunit ribosomal RNA", at positions 524 to 776 of the family's 1533-position model. The record is from RNAcentral.